GACGAACGCUGGCGGCGUGCUUAACACAUGCAAGUCGAACGGAAAGGCCCUGCUUGCAGGGUACUCGAGUGGCGAACGGGUGAGUAACACGUGGGUGAUCUGCCCUGCACUUCGGGAUAAGCCUGGGAAACUGGGUCUAAUACCGGAUAGGAGCCAUUUGUAGUGUGAUGGUUGGAAAGUUUUUUCGGUGUAGGAUGAGCUCGCGGCCUAUCAGCUUGUUGGUGGGGUAAUGGCCUACCAAGGCGGCGACGGGGAGCCGGCCUGAGAGGGUGGACGGCCACCUUGGGACUUAGAUACGGCCCAGACUCCUACGGGAGGCAGCAGUGGGGAAUAUUGCACAAUGGGCGCAAGCCUGAUGCAGCGACGCCGCGUGGGGGAUGACGGCCUUCGGGUUGUAAACUCCUUUCGCUAGGGACGAAGCUUUUUGUGACGGUACCUAGAUAAGAAGCACCGGCUAACUACGUG
Molecule: ribosomal RNA, 465 nt
Filed under: uncultured bacterium
Lineage: Bacteria
Description: partial 16S ribosomal RNA
Rfam family: Bacterial small subunit ribosomal RNA
Source: RNAcentral